UGGGGCUGAGUUUGUGGGGGGAGGGGACCGGAAAUGACCCCAAAAUCGCCCGAAAUGAACCCAAAAAUUCACCAAAAAAUUCCCAAAAAUUCCCAAAAAUAUUCCCAAAAAAAUAAACCAAAAUUUCCUAAAAACAUUCCCAAAAAAUUCCCCAAAUUCCCAAAAAUUCACCAAAAAAAUUCCCCAAAAUCCCAAAAAUUCCCCAAAAAUAUUCCCAAAAAAAUCAUCAAAAUAUCCCCAAAAUAUUCCAAAAAUGUCCCCGAAAAAUCCCCCAAAAUUCCCCAAAAACCCCAGAAAAUUCCCAAAAUUAUUCCCAAAAAUUCCCAAAAAUAUUCCCCAAAAUAUUCCCAAAAUGUCCCAAAAAUUCCCCAAAAAAUUCACCAAAAAAACCCCAAAGUUCCCAAAAAUAUUCCCCAAAAAUUCCCCAAAAAUCUCAAAAAAUCCCCAAAAUUCCCAAAAAUAUUCCUCAAAAAAUUCCCCAAAAUAUCCCCCAAAAUUCACCAAAAUAUCCAAAAAAUGUCCCCCCAAAAAAUCCCCAAAAUUCCCCAAAAUAUUCCCCAAAAAUUCACCGAAAUAUCCUGAAAUAUUCCCCAAAAAUUCCCAAAAAAACCCCAAAAUAUUCCCUAAAAUAUUCCCAAAAUUCCCAAAAAUAUUCCCAAAAAAUCCCCAAAAUUUGCCAAAAAAUUCCCAAAAUUCACCAGAAUAUUCCCAAAAUAAUCCCCAAACUUUACCCAAAAAUUCCCCAAAAAUAUCCCCAAAAAAUCCCAGAAAAAUCCCCAAAAAUGCCCCAAAAAUUCCAAAAAAUUCCCAAAAAUUCCCCAAAAUUAUCCCAGAAAAAUCCCCCAAAAUGCCCCAAAAAUCCCCAAAAAAUUCCCAAAAAUUCCCCAAAAAUAUCCCCAGAAAUAAUAAUAAAAAAUCCCAAAAAAUGACCCCAAAAUUCCCCAAAAUUUACCCAAAAAUUCCCCAAAAAUAUCCCCAAAAAAUCCCCAAAAAUCCCCAAAAAUGCCCUAAAAAUUCCCAAAAAAUUCCCAAAAAUUCCCCAAAAAUAUCUUUAAAAAUAAAAAAAAAUCCAAAAAAAUGCCCCAAAAAUUCCCAAAUAAUUCUCAAAAAUUCCCCAAAAAUAUCCCCAAAAAAUCCCAGAAAAAUGCCCCAAAAAUCCCAAAAAAAUUCCCAAAAAUUCCCAAAAAAUAUCCCCAAAAAAUCCCAGAAAAAUCCCAAAAA
Molecule: long non-coding RNA, 1221 nt
Filed under: Cyanistes caeruleus (blue tit)
Lineage: Eukaryota; Metazoa; Chordata; Aves; Passeriformes; Paridae
Description: lncRNA (ENSCCEG00000003439.1)
Source: RNAcentral